Saccostrea echinata is the source of this 297-nucleotide long non-coding RNA. RefSeq lists it as uncharacterized. NCBI's taxonomy places the organism in Eukaryota, Metazoa, Mollusca, Bivalvia, Ostreida, Ostreidae. The transcript is spliced from 3 exons. The record is from RefSeq and is a predicted model, not a curated record.
AAGGUGUGCUUUUCUUGGUUUUAUUGCUGUCCCUUCAUUGUUUAAUACAAGUGGGCGAGACCAAACACUGUCACUGCUCUACGAGAUGUAAAUGCCACCGGGAUCUCAAGAACUUUGCAAAAGAGCAAGAAAAACGAAUGGAAAAAUAUAUUGAAGCAUCGGCAGAUGAGUAGUCCAUCCUGAACAAUGGUCGAAAAUUCUUAUUUCAUCAACGUAUACGAAAUGUCCAUGUGUCUUUUCUUUUAAAGAAAAUCUCGAAGUAUUAUCUUCUUACUAAUAAACAAUUCUCUAGCAUUA